Molecule: non-coding RNA, 73 nt
Organism: Podarcis lilfordi (Lilford's wall lizard)
Lineage: Eukaryota; Metazoa; Chordata; Lepidosauria; Squamata; Lacertidae
Source: the annotation of a GenBank genome assembly
AGACUGUAUAGUUCAGUGGUAGAGAAUCUGCUUUGCAGGCAGAAGGUACCAAGUUCAAAUCCCGGCAUAGCUA